This 253-nucleotide ribosomal RNA is filed under the name uncultured bacterium. RNAcentral's name for it is "partial 16S ribosomal RNA". It matches the Rfam family "Bacterial small subunit ribosomal RNA", at positions 524 to 776 of the family's 1533-position model. The record is from RNAcentral.
GACGUAGGUGGCGAGCGUUAUCCGGAUUUACUGGGCGUAAAGCGUACGUAGGCGGCGUCAUCAGUCUGUCGUGAAAUCUCCCGGCUCAACCGGGAGCGGCCGAUGGAAACUGUGACGCUCGAGGGGCGUAGAGGCAAGCGGAAUUCCCGGAGUAGUGGUGGAAUGCGUAGAUACCGGGAGGAACACCAGUGGCGCAAGCGGCUUGCCAGACGCAUCCUGACGCUGAGGUACGAAAGCGUGGGUAGCGAACCGG